CCCGCCGGCGACCGGCGCACGGGUGAGUAACACGUAUGAAACCUGCCCGUAGCAGGGGGAUAAGCGGAAGAAAUUCCGUCUAAUACCGCGUAACAACCCAUGGAGGCAUCUCUGUGGGUUUUAAAGGAAGCGAUUCCGGCUACGGAUGGUCAUGCGUCGCAUUAGCUUGUUGGCGGGGUAACGGCCCACCAAGGCGACGAUGCGUAGGGGUUCUGAGAGGAAGGUCCCCCACACUGGUACUGAGACACGGACCAGACUCCUACGGAAGGCAGCAG
This 275-nucleotide ribosomal RNA is filed under the name uncultured bacterium. RNAcentral describes it as "partial 16S ribosomal RNA". It matches the Rfam family "Bacterial small subunit ribosomal RNA", at positions 84 to 354 of the family's 1533-position model. The record is from RNAcentral.